UGAAAUGGCCAUGGCACCCUGAGCAAGCCUGAUCCUGUUUGAUCUUGGAAGCUAAGCAGGGUUGGGCUUGGUUAGUAUUUGGAUGGGAGACCACCUAGGAAGACCAGGUGCUGCAGGAG
This 119-nucleotide ribosomal RNA is filed under the name Pteropus alecto (black flying fox). The record is from RNAcentral. Lineage: Eukaryota; Metazoa; Chordata; Mammalia; Chiroptera; Pteropodidae.